RNAcentral lists this ribosomal RNA (224 nucleotides) under uncultured bacterium. RNAcentral describes it as "partial 16S ribosomal RNA". It matches the Rfam family "Bacterial small subunit ribosomal RNA", at positions 524 to 746 of the family's 1533-position model. The record is from RNAcentral.
UACGUAGGGUGCAAGCGUUGUCCGGAAUUAUUGGGCGUAAAGAGCUCGUAGGCGGUCUGUCGCGUCGGCUGUGAAAACCCGAGGCUCAACCUCGGGCCUGCAGUCGAUACGGGCAAACUAGAGUACUGCAGGGGAGACUGGAAUUCCUGGUGUAGCGGUGAAAUGCGCAGAUAUCAGGAGGAACACCGGUGGCGAAGGCGGGGUCUCUGGGCAGUAACUGACGC